This 254-nucleotide ribosomal RNA is filed under the name uncultured bacterium. RNAcentral describes it as "partial 16S ribosomal RNA". It matches the Rfam family "Bacterial small subunit ribosomal RNA", at positions 524 to 776 of the family's 1533-position model. The record is from RNAcentral.
UACGUAGGGGGCGAGCGUUGUCCGGAUUUAUUGGGCGUAAAGACCUCGUAGGCGGUUCGAUAAGUCGGACGUGAAAUCUCCACGCUCAACGUGGAGGGGCCGUUCGAUACUGUCGUGACUCGAGUCCGGUAGGGGAGUGUGGAAUUCCCGGUGUAGCGGUGAAAUGCGCAGAGAUCGGGAGGAACACCCGUAGCGAAGGCGGCACUCUGGGCCGGUACUGACGCUGAGGAGCGAAAGCGUGGGGAGCAAACAGG